CACCAGACUCCUACGGGAGGCAGCAGUGGGGAAUAUUGCACAAUGGGGGAAACCCUGAUGCAGCGACGCCGCGUGAGCGAUGAAGUAUUUCGGUAUGUAAAGCUCUAUCAGCAGGGAAGAAAAUGACGGUACCUGACUAAGAAGCCCCGGCUAACUACGUGCCAGCAGCCGCGGUAAUACGUAGGGGGCAAGCGUUAUCCGGAUUUACUGGGUGUAAAGGGAGCGUAGACGGCUGUGCAAGCCAGAUGUGAAAGCCCGGGGCUCAACCCCGGGACUGCAUUUGGAACUGUGUGGCUGGAGUGUCGGAGAGGCAGGCGGAAUUCCUAGUGUAGCGGUGAAAUGCGUAGAUAUUAGGAGGAACACCAGUGGCGAAGGCGGCCUGCUGGACGAUGACUGACGUUGAGGCUCGAAAGCGUGGGGAGCAAACAGGAUUAGAUACCCGCGUA
This 446-nucleotide ribosomal RNA is filed under the name uncultured bacterium. RNAcentral's name for it is "bacterial SSU rRNA". It matches the Rfam family "Bacterial small subunit ribosomal RNA", at positions 329 to 792 of the family's 1533-position model. The record is from RNAcentral.